GACGAACGCUGGCGGCGUGCCUAAUACAUGCAAGUAGAACGCUGAAGGAGGAGCUUGCUUCUCUGGAUGAGUUGCGAACGGGUGAGUAACGCGUAGGUAACCUGCCUGGUAGCGGGGGAUAACUAUUGGAAACGAUAGCUAAUACCGCAUAAUAGCAGUUGUUGCAUGACAACUGUUUGAAAGGUGCAAUUGCACCACUACCAGAUGGACCUGCGUUGUAUUAGCUAGUUGGUGGGGUAACGGCUCACCAAGGCGACGAUACAUAGCCGACCUGAGAGGGUGAUCGGCCACACUGGGACUGAGACACGGCCCAGGCUCCUACGGGAGGCAGCAGUAGGGAAUCUUCGGCAAUGGACGGAAGUCUGACCGAGCAACGCCGCGUGAGUGAAGAAGGUUGUCGGAUCGUAAAGCUCUGUUGUAAGAGAAGAACGAGUGUGAGAGUGGAAAGUUCACACUGUGACGGUAUCUUACCAGAAAGGGACGGCUAUCUACGUG
This 495-nucleotide ribosomal RNA is filed under the name uncultured bacterium. RNAcentral's name for it is "partial 16S ribosomal RNA". It matches the Rfam family "Bacterial small subunit ribosomal RNA", at positions 28 to 507 of the family's 1533-position model. The record is from RNAcentral.